This 497-nucleotide ribosomal RNA is filed under the name uncultured bacterium. RNAcentral's name for it is "partial 16S ribosomal RNA". It matches the Rfam family "Bacterial small subunit ribosomal RNA", at positions 28 to 507 of the family's 1533-position model. The record is from RNAcentral.
GAUGAACGCUGGCGGCGUGCCUAAUACAUGCAAGUCGAGCGAACAGACGAGGAGCUUGCUCCUUCGACGUUAGCGGCGGACGGGUGAGUAACACGUAGGUAACCUACCUAUAAGACUGGGAUAACUUCGGGAAACCGGAGCUAGUACCGGAUAAUAUUUCGAACCGCAUGGUUCGAUAGUGAAAGAUGGCUUUGCUAUCACUUAUAGAUGGACCUGCGCCGUAUUAGCUAGUUGGUAAGGUAACGGCUUACCAAGGCAACGAUACGUAGCCGACCUGAGAGGGUGAUCAGCCACACUGGAACUGAGACACGGUCCAGACUCCUACGGGAGGCAGCAGUAGGGAAUCUUCCGCAAUGGGCGAAAGCCUGACGGAGCAACGCCGCGUGAGUGAUGAAGGUCUUCGGAUCGUAAAACUCUGUUAUUAGGGAAGAACAAACGUGUAAGUAACUGUGCACGUCUUGACGGUACCUAAUCAGAAAGCCACGGCUAACUACGUG